This 1235-nucleotide long non-coding RNA is filed under the name Equus caballus (horse). RNAcentral describes it as "lncRNA (ENSECAG00000051147.1)". Lineage: Eukaryota; Metazoa; Chordata; Mammalia; Perissodactyla; Equidae. The record is from RNAcentral.
UUUGCUUAAUUCCUACUUCCCUUCAUCACUCAGCUUGGGUAUAGUGUCUUCCAGGAAGCUUUUGCUGUGUAUCAUUCCCAGAACCCUACGCCAGGUCAGGUGAGGUCAGGCCAGGUCAGGCCAGGCAGCUCUCAUCACACAGGUACAUGCUGUUGGCUGCCCUCGACACAUUAUAUUAAAGGCACCUGGUGAUAUAUCUGUCUCCACCAUUAAGUUAUAUAUUCCUUAAGGACCUGGAACCGAGUUUUAUUCCUCCUUCUAUCUCCAGUGGCUAGUAUAUGGAGUUAUUAAAUAAAUGUUGAAAUGAAUAAGGCUUGUUAUUCACAGAGUCUAGUGUAGUAUGUGAGUUAGUGUUCAAUAGCUGUUAAAAUUUGUAGAUUUGUAAAUUUUUGCAUAAUAUAAGAAAGAGCUCUCUUGUAAGGAAGCAACAUCUCAUCAGUAAUGUUAUAUCGGAAUCUGACAUCUGCUUGUUAGGGACAGUGUGGGGGUGGAUUGGAGAAGUUCAAGGUAGAUUAAUUUCUGCUGUUUCCUACUCUAAGAUUCUAUGGGUCGUAGCACAUUCAAAGUUCAAGGAUGUUACAAUCAACUGAUUAGUCAGUAUCUUUCAUAUUGAGAACAGUAUUAAGAAAGCAUGUAACAAACAAAACACUUGCAAGAGUGGAGUAAAGUGAAUCAUCUCUCCUUGCUCCUGCUUGGCCCAGCUUCCAUCACAGCCCUCCACUGCUCUUUAGCCCACUGCAUCUUUCUAUUUCAGCCUUUGGUGGGCUUCUUCGAGCCCCUGAAAUGCUGAUAUUCUCCUCUGUUCAAUGCUCCUCUGUCCCUGCUCCUUCAAGAGAUUCUCAGCCAUUCUUCUGGCUUCAACUGACACUUACACAUUGGCAAUUCCUUAACCUAAUGCCAAUCCCAAAUAUCCAAGCCUUUAUUUGCAUAUCCCACAAGCACCUCAAACGCAGCAUUCCCUAAACUGAACUUUCAUCUCUCCCUCAAACUGUUCCCUCCUUAUUUUGGUCCCAAUUUUGUGAAUGGGAGCAUCAUUUGUUUAACUUAUUUCUUUUCCCUCAUAUGCUACACCAAAUUAAGGUCAAAGCUCAUUGAUUCUAUCUCUAAUGUUUUAAUUUCCUUACAGCCUUAUUAUGCCAGGGGUCGUAAACUGGUGAUCCUUUGGCUGGAUCUGGCUCGUAGACAAGUUUAGUUUAAAAUUUGAAUGUGAAUGCAUUCAGGUAGGCAUUUCUCUC